AAAUUGAAGAGUUUGAUCAUGGCUCAGAUUGAACGCUGGCGGCAGGCCUAACACAUGCAAGUCGAACGGUAACAGGAAGCAGCUUGCUGCUUCGCUGACGAGUGGCGGACGGGUGAGUAAUGUCUGGGAAACUGCCUGAUGGAGGGGGAUAACUACUGGAAACGGUGGCUAAUACCGCAUAACGUCGCAAGACCAAAGAGGGGGACCUUCGGGCCUCUUGCCAUCAGAUGUGCCCAGAUGGGAUUAGCUUGUUGGUGAGGUAACGGCUCACCAAGGCGACGAUCCCCAGCUGGUCUGAGAGGAUGACCAGCCACACUGGAACUGAGACACGGUCCAGACUCCUACGGGAGGCAGCAGUGGGGAAUAUUGCACAAUGGGCGCAAGCCUGAUGCAGCCAUGCCGCGUGUAUGAAGAAGGCCUUCGGGUUGUAAAGUACUUUCAGCGGGGAGGAAGGUGUUGUGGUUAAUAACCGCAGCAAUUGACGUUACCCGCAGAAGAAGCACCGGCUAACUCCGUGCCAGCAGCCGCGGUAAUACGGAGGGUGCAAGCGUUAAUCGGAAUUACUGGGCGUAAAGCGCACGCAGGCGGUCUGUCAAGUCGGAUGUGAAAUCCCCGGGCUCAACUAGUCCACGCCGUAAACGAUGUCUACUUGGAGGUUGUGCCCUUGAGGCGUGGCUUCCGGAGCUAACGCGUUAAGUAGACCGCCUGGGGAGUACGGCCGCAAGGUUAAAACUCAAAUGAAUUGACGGGGGCCCGCACAAGCGGUGGAGCAUGUGGUUUAAUUCGAUGCAACGCGAAGAACCUUACCUGGUCUUGACAUCCACAGAACUUUCCAGAGAUGGAUUGGUGCCUUCGGGAACUGUGAGACAGGUGCUGCAUGGCUGUCGUCAGCUCGUGUUGUGAAAUGUUGGGUUAAGUCCCGCAACGAGCGCAACCCUUAUCCUUUGUUGCCAGCGGUUAGGCCGGGAACUCAAAGGAGACUGCCAGUGAUAAACUGGAGGAAGGUGGGGAUGACGUCAAGUCAUCAUGGCCCUUACGACCGGGCUACACACGUGCUACAAUGGCGCAUACAAAGAGAAGCGACCUCGCGAGAGCAAGCGGACCUCAUAAAGUGCGUCGUAGUCCGGAUUGGAGUCUGCAACUCGACUCCAUGAAGUCGGAAUCGCUAGUAAUCGUGGAUCAGAAUGCCACGGUGAAUACGUUCCCGGGCCUUGUACACACCGCCCGUCACACCAUGGGAGUGGGUUGCAAAAGAAGUAGGUAGCUUAACCUUCGGGAGGGCGCUUACCACUUUGUGAUUCAUGACUGGGGUGAAGUCGUAACAAGGUAACCGUAGGGGAACCUGCGGUUGGAUCACCUCCUUACCUUAAAGAAGC
Molecule: ribosomal RNA, 1376 nt
Filed under: Salmonella enterica subsp. enterica serovar Adjame
Lineage: Bacteria; Pseudomonadati; Pseudomonadota; Gammaproteobacteria; Enterobacterales; Enterobacteriaceae
Description: 16S ribosomal RNA
Rfam family: Bacterial small subunit ribosomal RNA
Source: RNAcentral